UGCGUAGGUGGGCAGGUAAGUCAGUGGUGAAAUCUCUGGGCUUAACCCAGAAACUGCCGUUGAUACUAUCUGUCUUGAAUGUAGUGGAGGUGAGCGGAAUAUGUCAUGUAGCGGUGAAAUGCUUAGAUAUGACAUAGAACACCUAUUGCGAAGGCAGCUCGCUACACUAUUAUUGACACUGAGGCACGAAAGCGUGGGGAUCAAACAGGAUUAGAUACCCUGGUAGUCCACGCCCUAAACGAUGGAUACUCGACAUCAGCGAUACACUGUUGGUGUCUGAGCGAAAGCAUUAAGUAUCCCACCUGGGAAGUACGACCGCAAGGUUGAA
This 328-nucleotide ribosomal RNA is filed under the name uncultured bacterium. RNAcentral's name for it is "bacterial SSU rRNA". It matches the Rfam family "Bacterial small subunit ribosomal RNA", at positions 568 to 898 of the family's 1533-position model. The record is from RNAcentral.